AACGAACGCUGGCGGCAGGCCUAACACAUGCAAGUCGAGCGAGGACUUCGGUUCUAGCGGCGGACGGGUGAGUAACGCGUGGGAAUGUGCCCUUCUCUACGGAAUAGCCCUGGGAAACUGGGAGUAAUACCGUAUACGCCCUAUUGGGGAAAGAUUUAUCGGAGAAGGAUCAGCCCGCGUUGGAUUAGGUAGUUGGUGGGGUAAUGGCCUACCAAGCCGACGAUCCAUAGCUGGUUUGAGAGGAUGAUCAGCCACACUGGGACUGAGACACGGCCCUGACUCCUACGGGAGGCAGCAGUGGGGAAUCUUAGACAAUGGGGGCAACCCUGAUCUAGCCAUGCCGCGUGAGUGAUGAAGGCCUUAGGGUUGUAAAGCUCUUUCAGCUGGGAAGAUAAUGACGGUACCAGCAGAAGAAGCCCCGGCUAACUCCGUG
This 433-nucleotide ribosomal RNA is filed under the name uncultured bacterium. RNAcentral's name for it is "partial 16S ribosomal RNA". It matches the Rfam family "Bacterial small subunit ribosomal RNA", at positions 29 to 507 of the family's 1533-position model. The record is from RNAcentral.